GAUCAUGGCUCAGGAUGAACGCUAGCUACAGGCUUAACACAUGCAAGUCGAGGGGCAGCACGGUCUUAGCUUGCUAAGGCCGAUGGCGACCGGCGCACGGGUGAGUAACACGUAUCCAACCUGCCGUCUACUCUUGGACAGCCUUCUGAAAGGAAGAUUAAUACAAGAUGGCAUCAUGAGUCCGCAUGUUCACAUGAUUAAAGGUAUUCCGGCAGACGAUGGGG
RNAcentral lists this ribosomal RNA (224 nucleotides) under uncultured bacterium. RNAcentral's name for it is "partial 16S ribosomal RNA". It matches the Rfam family "Bacterial small subunit ribosomal RNA", at positions 15 to 230 of the family's 1533-position model. The record is from RNAcentral.